UGGUGAAUCUUGCGCAAUGGGGGCAACCCUGACGCAGCCAUACCGCGUGAGUGAUGAAGGUCUUCGGAUUGUAAAGCUCUUUCGGCGGGGACGACGAUGACGGUACCCGCAAAAGAAGUCACGGCUAACUUCGUGCCAGCAGCCGCGGUAAUACGAAGGUGGCGAAUGUUGCUCGGAUUCACUGGGCGUAAAGCGUCUGUAGGUGGCUUGUUAAGUUAGAGGUGAAAGCCCCGCGCUCAACGUGGGAAUUGCCUUUAAAACUGGCGAGCUUGAGAAUAUCAGAGGAUGGCGGAAUAUCCGGUGUAGAGGUAAAAUUCAUAGAUAUCGGAUGGAACACCCAAGGCGAAGGCAGCUAUCUGGGGUGUUUCUGACACUGAGAGACGACAGCGUGGGGAGCAAACA
Molecule: ribosomal RNA, 402 nt
Filed under: uncultured prokaryote
Description: bacterial SSU rRNA
Rfam family: Bacterial small subunit ribosomal RNA
Source: RNAcentral